UACCGAAGACCGGUCACCCCGACCCCGAC
RNAcentral lists this small RNA (29 nucleotides) under Bombyx mori (domestic silkworm). RNAcentral's name for it is "ovarian small RNA-435". Lineage: Eukaryota; Metazoa; Arthropoda; Insecta; Lepidoptera; Bombycidae. The record is from RNAcentral.